Molecule: ribosomal RNA, 253 nt
Filed under: uncultured bacterium
Lineage: Bacteria
Description: partial 16S ribosomal RNA
Rfam family: Bacterial small subunit ribosomal RNA
Source: RNAcentral
UACGGAGGGUGCAAGCGUUGUUCGGAAUCAUUGGGCGUAAAGCGCGUGUAGGCGGCUUGGCAAGUCAGUUGUGAAAGCCCGGGGCCCAACCCCGGAACUGCAUCUGAAACUGCUUGGCUGGAGUCCCGGAGAGGAAGGCAGAAUUCCCGGUGUAGGGGUGAAAUCCGUAGAUAUCGGGAGGAAUACCAGCGGCGAAGGCGGCCUUCUGGACGGUGACUGACGCUGAGACGCGAAAGCGUGGGGAGCAAACAGG